This 392-nucleotide ribosomal RNA is filed under the name Alteromonas portus. Its description in RNAcentral is "Alteromonas sp. HB161718 partial 23S ribosomal RNA". It matches the Rfam family "Bacterial large subunit ribosomal RNA", at positions 2552 to 2925 of the family's 2925-position model. Lineage: Bacteria; Pseudomonadati; Pseudomonadota; Gammaproteobacteria; Alteromonadales; Alteromonadaceae. The record is from RNAcentral.
GCUGAAGCCGGUCCCAAGGGUAUGGCUGUUCGCCAUUUAAAGUGGUACGCGAGCUGGGUUUAGAACGUCGUGAGACAGUUCGGUCCCUAUCUGCCGUGGGCGUUGGAGAUUUGAGAAGAGUUGCUCCUAGUACGAGAGGACCGGAGUGAACGAACCUCUGGUGUUCCGGUUGUCACGCCAGUGGCAUUGCCGGGUAGCUAUGUUCGGACGGGAUAACCGCUGAAAGCAUCUAAGCGGGAAGCCUCCUUCAAGAUGAGAUCUCCCUGAGACUUCGAGUCUCCUAAAGGGCCGUGGAAGACUACCACGUUGAUAGGCUGGGUGUGGAAGCGUUGUGAGGCGUUGAGCUAACCAGUACUAAUUGCCCGUGCGGCUUGACCAUACAACAGAGAUGG